RNAcentral lists this long non-coding RNA (215 nucleotides) under Elaeis guineensis (African oil palm). Its description in RNAcentral is "long non-coding RNA (EGUI_LNC063079)". The record is from RNAcentral. Lineage: Eukaryota; Viridiplantae; Streptophyta; Magnoliopsida; Arecales; Arecaceae.
UCCAGAAAAUGAAGUCUUGGUCAUCUUAUCCAUGAGACAAGAUUCAUAAGUUCUCGAUGAUUUAUAAUCAUAUGGGUCAAAGAAUUCUUCUUUGUAUAACUUGUUUAUCCUUGACUCACUAAUAUAAUCAAGACGAUAAUGUUAGAGAUAUGUGAUAUUCACAUCUUCUCUCUUUCUUUUUAUAUUUUUUUAAUAUAAAAAAUAUUUUUAUUGAG